GCACCCAUAGCUCAGCUGGAUAGAGCGCUGCCCUCCGAAGGCAGAGGUCACAGGUUCAAAUCCUGUUGGGUGCA
This is a non-coding RNA of Hyphomonas johnsonii MHS-2, 74 nucleotides long. Lineage: Bacteria; Pseudomonadati; Pseudomonadota; Alphaproteobacteria; Hyphomonadales; Hyphomonadaceae. The record is from Rfam.